GCGCCUGUAGCUCAGUUGGAUAGAGCAGCGGCCUUCUAAGCCGCGGGUCGGGGGUUCGACUCCCUCCAGGCGCG
RNAcentral lists this transfer RNA (74 nucleotides) under Desulfarculus baarsii DSM 2075. It matches the Rfam family "tRNA". From Rfam's summary of the family: Transfer RNA (tRNA) molecules are approximately 80 nucleotides in length. Their secondary structure includes four short double-helical elements and three loops (D, anti-codon, and T loops). Lineage: Bacteria; Pseudomonadati; Thermodesulfobacteriota; Desulfarculia; Desulfarculales; Desulfarculaceae. The record is from Rfam by way of RNAcentral.